Molecule: ribosomal RNA, 540 nt
Filed under: uncultured bacterium
Lineage: Bacteria
Description: bacterial SSU rRNA
Rfam family: Bacterial small subunit ribosomal RNA
Source: RNAcentral
UGAGGAAUAUUGGUCAAUGGGCGAGAGCCUGAACCAGCCAAGUAGCAUGCAGGAUGACGGCCCUAUGGGUUGUAAACUGCUUUUGUAUGGGGAUAAAGUCAGUCACGUGUGAUUGUUUGCAGGUACCAUACGAAUAAGGACCGGCUAAUUCCGUGCCAGCAGCCGCGGUAAUACGGAAGGUCCGGGCGUUAUCCGGAUUUAUUGGGUUUAAAGGGAGCGUAGGCUGGAGAUUAAGUGUGUUGUGAAAUGUAGACGCUCAACGUCUGACUUGCAGCGCAUACUGGUUUCCUUGAGUACGCACAACGUUGGCGGAAUUCGUCGUGUAGCGGUGAAAUGCUUAGAUAUGACGAAGAACUCCGAUUGCGAAGGCAGCUGACGGGAGCGCAACUGACGCUGAAGCUCGAAGGUGCGGGUAUCGAACAGGAUUAGAUACCCUGGUAGUCCGCACAGUAAACGAUGGAUGCCCGCUGUUGGUACCUGGUAUCAGCGGCUAAGCGAAAGCAUUAAGCAUCCCACCUGGGGAAUACGCCGGCAACGGUG